RNAcentral lists this long non-coding RNA (1314 nucleotides) under Anas platyrhynchos platyrhynchos (common mallard). Its description in RNAcentral is "lncRNA (ENSAPLG00000027713.1)". Lineage: Eukaryota; Metazoa; Chordata; Aves; Anseriformes; Anatidae. The record is from RNAcentral.
GAACUGCAGACCUUAGAGAAGCACUGAUUACCUGUGGCAGAACCUCAGAACCUACACUGGAAGGAUGGUGGCAGGAGCAGGAUGUCUUCAUAUUAUAUGAAAGCGAUAGGGGUAAAUGUGGAUGCCAUCAUCAUGGAAUCUGAGAAGAGUCAGAAAAAAAAUCUGUAAUGAUGACAAUAUGAAGGUCCUUUCCAGCUCUUUACUGGAUGUGGAAGGCUCCUACUAUCUCAGCGGUGAGGAUGUGAGAGGAUGUGAGGUGAGGAUGUGAGAUAGACUGGGAGAUGCUUUUCUAUCAUCAAGUAGCAGUCACUCACCAAAGUGACAAGUCCCUUCCUUUUGCAGUAAUUCUCAGGAUAGUAAUGGCCAUAGAUUCCCUAGGCUGCAAAAGCACUUUGAAACAUCCUAUAUGCACAUAAAGUACUCUUAGAUAAGAAAACAGUAUUCCAACAGUAUGUCACAUUCUCAAACUGCAUUUUUUUUUCUAAGAAAGAAAAUAUUUUAUGAAAAUGUAUUAAAAAAGGUUUUCAAUGGACUGAAUAAACCACAAACACAGCGAACAUUAGGACAUAAUUACACACUUAUAGAGAAGUCUACCAUGAAAAAAAAGUUUUUUGCUUUUUGCUUUUUUUUUUUUUCCUGAAAACUGAAAAUGACAAGCUCAAAUUAUGAAGUAUACUGUGCACAAUCGAGUGUGAGGAAAUAUCAGCUCACGAAUCAUUAACAGCCCCAGUCUUAUGAACAGAGCAUUAUCAGCUCUGUGAGUCUGAACAAAACAAUUGUCAGCUGCCACCCUUUCUCAACUAGACAAUUAAAAAUCUCAUGUUGUGCAAAGUGAAAAAAUGAGAUCAAACUCAGCAAUCCAUUUGCCUAGUGGAUGCAAAAAGAUCCUUCAGCCUGACAAAGUGUAUUCUCUUCCAGGGAGCAUGUAAGAAGAUGGAUAUUAAUAUUCAGGGGAAGGUCUGGAAUGUUAUAGGUGUGGAAUCUACAGCGCUUUCCAAGGACAGGCAUGUUACCGCAGAUUUGUGCAUUUACGGAAGAUCUUCAGACCUCCUGCCUCUGAGCCUACACGGAGACAAAGGAACAGAAAAAGGCCAUGCUACAGAAACAUGCUACAGAAGCUGUCCAAGUGAGGUAGAAGUACCUAACCUAAGCAAUAUGAACUGCAAAAAAAAACUAGAUGAAGCACCAUUUUUCACCAUGCAUAAGCAUGACUCUGCCAUGCUUAGAUAGUUAAAGAAACUGUGUUGCACAGUACCAGCAGGUAAUGAAGCAUUAUUCAUCUUCAAGCACAUGGAAGAAAAGCAGGCUUGUAAA